Neofelis nebulosa (Clouded leopard) is the source of this 324-nucleotide long non-coding RNA. RefSeq lists it as uncharacterized. The transcript has 3 exons. NCBI's taxonomy places the organism in Eukaryota, Metazoa, Chordata, Mammalia, Carnivora, Felidae. The record is from RefSeq and is a predicted model, not a curated record.
GGGAAGGGCAGAGAGAGAGGGAGACACAGAAUCUGAAGCAGGUUCCAGGCUCUGAGCUGUUAACACAGAGACCGACUCAGGGCUCAAAUCCACAAACUGUGAGAUCAGGACCUGAGCCAAAGCUGGAUACUUAACCAACUGAGCCACCCAGGGGCCCAGCACUGGAGUUUUAACAGCAAAGUGUCAUCAUCAAAACAGCUGAGCUCACAGAAGAAGGUCACUCUGCCUGCCUCAAGGACUUGUCAAUGGGCUUGCUAUGCUUUUGACUCUACUUGGAGAUUCUUCAGGUAAGUCCAACCCACAAUGGUCUUCUUAGAUUUUGAA